This 253-nucleotide ribosomal RNA is filed under the name uncultured bacterium. RNAcentral's name for it is "partial 16S ribosomal RNA". It matches the Rfam family "Bacterial small subunit ribosomal RNA", at positions 524 to 776 of the family's 1533-position model. The record is from RNAcentral.
UACGGGGGGAGCAAGCGUUGUUCGGAUUUACUGGGCGUAAAGGGCGCGUAGGCGGCGCAACAAGUCGAUUGUGAAAUCUCCGGGCUUAACUCGGAGCGGCCAAUCGAUACUGUCGUGCUAGAGUGCGGAAGGGGCUACUGGAAUUCUCGGUGUAGCGGUGAAAUGCGUAGAUAUCGAGAGGAACACCUGCGGCGAAGGCGGGUAGCUGGGCCGACACUGACGCUGAGGCGCGAAAGCUAGGGGAGCAAACAGG